UUAGGCGCAGCCUUCCAUGCAGUCGAACGGUAACAGGUCUUCGGAUGCUGACGAGUGGCGAACGGGUGAGUAAUACAUCGGAACGUGCCCGAUCGUGGGCCGGAUAAUCGGAGCGAAAGCUUGUGCUAAUACCGCAUACGAUCUACGGAUGAAAGCAGGGGACCGCAAGGCCUUGCGCGGACGGAGCGGCCGAUGGCAGAUUAGGUAGUUGGUGGGAUAAAAGCUUACCAUGCCGACGAUCUGUAGCUGGUCUGAGAGGACGACCAGCGACACUGGGACUGGAGACACGGCCCAGACUCCUACGGGAGGCAGCAGUGGGGAAUUGGACAAUGGGCGAAAAGCCUGAUCCAGCCAUGCCGCGUGCAGGAUGAAGGCCUUCGGGUUGUGAACUGCCCGAGUACGGAACGAAAGACUCCUUCUAAUAAAGGGGGUCCAUGACGGUACCGUAAGAAUAAGCACCGGCUAACUACGUGCCAGCAGCCGCGGUAAUACGUAGGGUGCGAGCGUUAAUCGGAAUUACGGGGCGUAAAGCGGGGCGCAGGCGGU
This 546-nucleotide ribosomal RNA is filed under the name uncultured Acidovorax sp. RNAcentral describes it as "bacterial SSU rRNA". It matches the Rfam family "Bacterial small subunit ribosomal RNA", at positions 36 to 579 of the family's 1533-position model. Lineage: Bacteria; Pseudomonadati; Pseudomonadota; Betaproteobacteria; Burkholderiales; Comamonadaceae. The record is from RNAcentral.